UACAGAGGGGGCAAGCGUUAUUCGGAAUUAUUGGGCGUAAAGGGCGCGUAGGCGGCCUGGCAAGUGGAUGGUGAAAUCCCUCGGCUUAACCGAGGAACUGCCAUCCAGACUGCUUGGCUUGAGACCGGGAGAGGUGAGUGGAAUUCCCAGUGUAGCGGUGAAAUGCGUAGAGAUUUGGAGGAACACCAGUGGCGAAGGCGACUAUCUGGUCUGUAACUGACACUGAGGCGCGAAAGCGUGGGGAGCAAACAGG
This 253-nucleotide ribosomal RNA is filed under the name uncultured bacterium. Its description in RNAcentral is "partial 16S ribosomal RNA". It matches the Rfam family "Bacterial small subunit ribosomal RNA", at positions 524 to 776 of the family's 1533-position model. The record is from RNAcentral.